CUACGGGAGGCACCAGUGGGGAAUAUUGCACAAUGGACGAAAGUCUGAUGCAGCAACGCCGCGUGGAGGAUGACACAUUUCGGUGCGUAAACUCCUUUUAUAUAGGAAGAUAAUGACGGUACUAUAUGAAUAAGCACCGGCUAACUCCGUGCCAGGCAGCCUCGGUAAUACGGAGGGUGCAAGCGUUACUCGGAAUCACUGGGCGUAAAGAGCGUGUAGGCGGGUUAAUAAGUUGGAAGUGAAAUCCUAUGGCUCAACCAUAGAACUGCUUCCAAAACUGUUAACCUAGAAUAUGGGAGAGGUAGAUGGAAUUUCUGGUGUAGGGGUAAAAUCCGUAGAGAUCAGAAGGAAUACCGAUUGCGAAGGCGAUCUACUGGAACAUUAUUGACGCUGAGACGCGAAAGCGUGGGGAGCAAACAGGAUUAGAUACCCUUGUAGUC
Molecule: ribosomal RNA, 440 nt
Filed under: uncultured bacterium
Lineage: Bacteria
Description: partial 16S ribosomal RNA
Rfam family: Bacterial small subunit ribosomal RNA
Source: RNAcentral